RNAcentral lists this unclassified non-coding RNA (220 nucleotides) under uncultured Actinomycetes bacterium. RNAcentral describes it as "uncultured actinobacterium contains 16S-23S intergenic spacer region". The record is from RNAcentral. Lineage: Bacteria; Bacillati; Actinomycetota; Actinomycetes.
UCCGAGUUGUCCCCGGCAGUCCUCUUAGAGUCCCCGGCAUUACCCGCUGGCAACUAAGAGCAGGGGUUGCGCUCGUUGCGGCACUUAAGCCAACACCUCACGGCACGAGCUGACGACAGCCAUGCAGCACCUGUGCAGGGCCCCGAAGGACACGGGCUUUCACCCGCUUUACCCUGCAUGUCAAGCCCAGGUAAGGUGGGGAUGACGUUUCCAGGUUAGG